CAUGCAAGUCGAACGAGGAUAUAUCCUUCGGGAUAUAAGCCGAGUGGCGCAAGGGUGAGUAAUGCAUAGAUUACCUGCCUCUAGGAUAAGGACAACUUUGUGAAAACGAAGCUAAUACUUAAUAAUACAAAAGAAAAUAAUUUUCUUUUGUCAAUGGGAGGGUAGCAAUACCUUUUGCCUAGAGAGGGGUUUAUGUCCUAUCAGCUUGUUGGUGGGGUAAUGGCCUACCAAGGCGGAGACGGGUAGCCGGUCUUAGAGGAUGGUCGGCCACACUGGGACUGAGACACUGCCCAGACUUCUACGGAAGGCUGCAGUUGAGAAUCUUUCGCAAUGCCCGAAAGGGUGACGAAGCGACGCCGCGUGAGUGAGGAAGGCCUUAGGGUUGUAAAGCUCUGUCAGGAGUUAAGAAAUAUAAGUGUGUUAAUACCACGUUUAUUUGACGAAGGCUCCAAAGGAAGCCACGGCUAACUCUGUGCCAGCAGCCGCGGUAAUACAGAGGUGGCAAGCGUUGUUCGGAAUUAUUGGGCGUAAAGAGCACGUAGGUGGGUUUGUAAGUCAGAUGUGAAAGCCUUCUGUUCAACGGAAGAAUUGCAUCUGAAACUGCAAGUCUUGAGUGUAGGAGGGGAGAAUGGAACUUCUGGUGGAGCGGUGAAAUGCGUAGAUAUCAGAAGGAACGCCGGCGGCGAAAGCGAUUCUCUGGCCUAUUACUGACGCUCAGUGUGCGAAAGCUAGGGGAGCAAACGGGAUUAGAUACCCCGGUAGUCCUAGCCGUAAACGAUGGGCACUAAGUAGAGGGAAUUACCGAUGUUCUCUCUGCCGUAGCUAACGCAUUAAGUGCCCCGCCUGGGGAGUACGGCCGCAAGGCUAAAACUCAAAAGAAUUGACGGGGGCUCGCACAAGCGGUGGAGCAUGUGGCUUAAUUCGAUGCAACGCGAAAAACCUUACCGGGGCUUGACAUGGUAGAAGUAGGAACCCGAAAGGGUAACGAACGGUAUCCAGUCCAUAGCUAUCACAGGUGUUGCAUGGCUGUCGUCAGCUCGUGUCGUGAGACGUUGGGUUAAGUCCCCUAACGAGCGAAACCCUUGUUUUUAGUUACCAGCGGGUUAUGCCGGGUACUCUAGAAAGACUGCCGUCGUCAAGACGGAGGAAGGUGGGGAUGACGUCAAGUCAUCAUGGCCCUUAUGCCCCGGGCUGCACACGUGCUACAAUGGUCGGUACAAACGGAAGCGAAGCCGAGAGGUGAAGCGAAUCCUAAAAAGCCGAUCUCAGUUCGGAUUGGAGGCUGAAAUUCGCCUCCAUGAAGUUGGAAUCGCUAGUAAUCGCGGAUCAGCAAUGCCGCGGUGAAUAUGUUCCCGAGCCUUGUACACACCGCCCGUCAAGCCACCCAAGCAGGAUGCACCCGAAAACAUUAUAUCUAACCAGGGCAACUUGGAGGAAAGUGUUGAAGGAGUGUUUUGUGAGGAGGACUAAGUCGUAACAAGGUAGUCGUAGGAGAACCUGCGGCUGGAUCACCUCCUUUCU
RNAcentral lists this ribosomal RNA (1521 nucleotides) under uncultured Planctomycetales bacterium. Its description in RNAcentral is "16S ribosomal RNA". It matches the Rfam family "Bacterial small subunit ribosomal RNA". Lineage: Bacteria; Pseudomonadati; Planctomycetota; Planctomycetia; Planctomycetales. The record is from RNAcentral.